GAUGAACGCUGGCGGCGUGCCUAAUACAUGCGAGUCGAGCGAACGGACGAGAAGCUUGCUUCUCUGAUGUUAGCGGCGGACGGGGGAGUAAAACGUGGAUAACCUACCUAUAAGACUGGGAUAACUUCGGGAAACCGGAGCUAAUACCGGAUAAUAUUUUGAACCGCAUGGUUCAAAAGUGAAAGACGGUCUUGCUGUCACUUAUAGAUGGAUCCGCGCUGCAUUAGCUAGUUGGUAAGGUAACGGCUUACCAAGGCAACGAUGCAUAGCCGACCUGAGAGGGUGAUCGGCCACACUGGAACUGAGACACGGUCCAGACUCCUACGGGAGGCAGCAGUAGGGAAUCUUCCGCAAUGGGCGAAAGCCUGACGGAGCAACGCCGCGUGAGUGAUGAAGGUCUUCGGAUCGUAAAACUCUGUUAUUAGGGAAGAACAUAUGUGUAAGUAACUGUGCACAUCUUGACGGUACCUAAUCAGAAAGCCACGGCUAACUACGUG
This 497-nucleotide ribosomal RNA is filed under the name uncultured bacterium. RNAcentral's name for it is "partial 16S ribosomal RNA". It matches the Rfam family "Bacterial small subunit ribosomal RNA", at positions 28 to 507 of the family's 1533-position model. The record is from RNAcentral.